GGGGUAUAGCUCAGUUGGUUAGAGCGCUUGCAUGGCAUGCAAGAGGUCCUGGGUUCGAAUCCCACUACCUCC
Molecule: transfer RNA, 72 nt
Filed under: uncultured Prevotella sp.
Lineage: Bacteria; Pseudomonadati; Bacteroidota; Bacteroidia; Bacteroidales; Prevotellaceae
Rfam family: tRNA
About the family: Transfer RNA (tRNA) molecules are approximately 80 nucleotides in length. Their secondary structure includes four short double-helical elements and three loops (D, anti-codon, and T loops).
Source: RNAcentral